This 251-nucleotide ribosomal RNA is filed under the name uncultured prokaryote. Its description in RNAcentral is "partial 16S rRNA". It matches the Rfam family "Bacterial small subunit ribosomal RNA", at positions 525 to 775 of the family's 1533-position model. The record is from RNAcentral.
ACGUAGGGAGCAAGCGUUGUCCGGAAUUACUGGGCGUAAAGGGCGCGUAGGCGGGAUAUUAAGUUAGGUGUGAAAACUCCGGGCUCAACUUGGAGAGUGCACUUAAAACUGGUAUCCUUGAGGACAGGAGAGGAAAGUGGAAUUCCUAGUGUAGCGGUGAAAUGCGUAGAUAUUAGGAGGAACACCAGUGGCGAAGGCGACUUUCUGGACUGUAACUGACGCUGAGGCGCGAAAGCGUGGGGAGUGAACGG